This 449-nucleotide ribosomal RNA is filed under the name uncultured bacterium. RNAcentral's name for it is "partial 16S ribosomal RNA". It matches the Rfam family "Bacterial small subunit ribosomal RNA", at positions 29 to 523 of the family's 1533-position model. The record is from RNAcentral.
AGCGAACGCUGGCGGCAGGCCUAACACAUGCAAGUCGAACGGAUCCUUCGGGAUUAGUGGCGGACGGGAGAGUAACACGUGGGAACGUGCCUUUAGGUUCGGAAUAGCUCCUGGAAACGGGUGGUAAUGCCGAAUGUGCCCUUCGGGGGAAAGAUUUAUCGCCUUUAGAGCGGCCCGCGUCUGAUUAGCUAGUUGGUGAGGUAAUGGCUCACCAAGGCGACGAUCAGUAGCUGGUCUGAGAGGAUGACCAGCCACACUGGGACUGAGACACGGCCCAGACUCCUACGGGAGGCAGCAGUGGGGAAUCUUGCGCAAUGGGCGAAAGCCUGACGCAGCCAUGCCGCGUGAAUGAUGAAGGUCUUAGGAUUGUAAAAUUCUUUCACCGGGGACGAUAAUGACGGUACCCGGAGAAGAAGCCCCGGCUAACUUCGUGCCAGCCGCCGCAGUAA